RNAcentral lists this small RNA (455 nucleotides) under Gordonia amarae NBRC 15530. RNAcentral describes it as "Giant, ornate, lake- and Lactobacillales-derived (GOLLD) RNA". It matches the Rfam family "Giant, ornate, lake- and Lactobacillales-derived (GOLLD) RNA". The record is from Rfam by way of RNAcentral. Lineage: Bacteria; Bacillati; Actinomycetota; Actinomycetes; Mycobacteriales; Gordoniaceae.
CGAGGGUGCGUGGUAUUCCGUCUCCAAAAGGGGCGGAGCCACAAGGGAAAGCGCAUCCUCAGUCAGAUUUCCACUAGCUCAAUUGGCAGAGCAGUUGACUUCGGAUCAACGGGUUGACGGUUCGAGUCCGUCGUGGGGUUCACACCCAAGCGAAAGCCUUUCCCCGGCAACAGUGCGACAGUGUCCUAAUCCCUGACCCGGCAACGGGAAUCAGGGCGCCCGAGGGUCCGCAAGACCCGGAGGUGUUCAUGCGCGAGUAACGGUAGCGGAGAGACCGGCCGGUCUUUCUUCGACGCCAAAGCGGUGGAGAAGCUGUUGUCGUGACGCGUGGUGCCACGUACGGCACUGGACAUGGUGACUACCGUCGAGAGGCGGUGGAUACGCGGAAAACCCCCUGGCAGGGGGAAUACAGCCCGCCAAAGGUCACCGGGAGCGGCGAGGUAAUCUCACUCGCC